UCGCUGUGAAGAUGCAGUGUACCCGCGGCAAGACGGAAAGACCCCGUGAACCUUUACUAUAGCUUGACACUGAACAUUGAGCCUUGAUGUGUAGGAUAGGUGGGAGGCUUAGAAGUGUGGACGCCAGUCUGCAUGGAGCCGACCUUGAAAUACCACCCUUUAAUGUUUGAUGUUCUAACGUUGACCCGUGAUCCGGGUUGCGGACAGUGUCUGGUGGGUAGUUUGACUGGGGCGGUCUCCUCCUAAAGAGUAACGGAGGAGCACGAAGGUUGGCUAAUCCUGGUCGGACAUCAGGAGGUUA
This 301-nucleotide ribosomal RNA is filed under the name Escherichia coli. RNAcentral describes it as "partial 23S ribosomal RNA". It matches the Rfam family "Bacterial large subunit ribosomal RNA", at positions 2048 to 2348 of the family's 2925-position model. Lineage: Bacteria; Pseudomonadati; Pseudomonadota; Gammaproteobacteria; Enterobacterales; Enterobacteriaceae. The record is from RNAcentral.